GCCGAGGUGGUGGAAUUGGCAGACACGCAUGGUUGAGGUCCAUGUGGGCAGUUUAGCCUAUGCGGGUUCAAGUCCCGCCCUCGGCA
This is a non-coding RNA of Mesotoga prima, 86 nucleotides long. NCBI's taxonomy places the organism in Bacteria, Thermotogati, Thermotogota, Thermotogae, Kosmotogales, Kosmotogaceae. The record is from Rfam.